CCUACGGGGGGCUGCAGUGAGGAAUAUUGGUCAAUGGGCGCGAGCCUGAACCAGCCAAGUAGCGUGAAGGAUGACUGCCCUACGGGUUGUAAACUUCUUUUAUAAAGGAAUAAAGUGAGGCACGUGUGCCUUUUUGUAUGUACUUUAUGAAUAAGGAUCGGAUACCUCCGGGCCCGCAGCCGCGUUAAUACGGAGGAUCCGAGCGUUAUCCGGAUUUAUUGGGUUUAAAGGGAGCGGAGAUGGGUUGUUAGGUCAGUUGUGAAAGUUUGCGGCUCAACCGUAAAAUUGCAAUUGAUACUGGCAGUCUUGAGUACAGUUGAGGUAGGCGGAAUUCGUGGUGUAGCGGUGAAAUGCUUAGAUAUCACGAAGAACUCCGAUUGCGAAGGGAGCUUACUAAACUGCCACUGACAUUGAUGCUCGAAAGUGUGGGUAUCAAACAGGAUUAGAUACCCCAGUAGUC
This 460-nucleotide ribosomal RNA is filed under the name uncultured bacterium. RNAcentral describes it as "partial 16S ribosomal RNA". It matches the Rfam family "Bacterial small subunit ribosomal RNA", at positions 338 to 795 of the family's 1533-position model. The record is from RNAcentral.